GGAUGUGAGGGCAAUCUGGCUGCGACAUCUGUCACCCCAUUGAUCACCAGGGUUGAUUCGGCUGAUCUGGCUGGCUAGGCGGGUGUCCCCUUCCUCCCUCACCGCUCCAUGUGUGUCCCUCCCAAAGCUGUGCACUCGGUCAAAGAGGACGACCAUCCCCGCUAGAGGAGGACCGGUCUUCGGUCAAGGGUAUACGAGUAGCUGCGCUCCCCUGCUAGAACCUCCAAACAAGCUCUCAGAUUGGCUCAGCUCCAACUGUUGGGGCUGCUUGGGGAGUGAAUCAGCGGAUGGAUAAUUUUCCUCUGUAUAUUUGACUUUC
Molecule: unclassified non-coding RNA, 319 nt
Organism: Ochotona princeps (American pika)
Lineage: Eukaryota; Metazoa; Chordata; Mammalia; Lagomorpha; Ochotonidae
Gene: 7SK
Rfam family: 7SK RNA
About the family: 7SK was discovered as an abundant small nuclear RNA in the mid-70s but a possible function has only recently been suggested. Two independent studies have found that 7SK RNA binds the CDK9/cyclin T complex (known as elongation factor P-TEFb). P-TEFb activates transcription by phosphorylating the C-terminal domain of RNA polymerase II.
Source: Ensembl